CUUGCUCAAGAAAAAAAAUUGGGAAGGAAAAGGUUCCUAUACGUGAACUACCAAAUCAAUACCAGAGCCGAAAGAAACAAGCUCAACCCUUAAGAGUGCUGUCUACACGACUGAUCAAACAGAAGGGAGUAGAUGUAACUCAGUCGCUGGUUCAACAGCAAGGAACCAAUGCAGACGAGGUAACCUAGGUUAACGCCGAAGAUAUACAAGCAUCUUUCCCAUCGUUUCAACCUUGGGGACAAGGUGUGUCUG
This 252-nucleotide long non-coding RNA is filed under the name Olea europaea (common olive). Its description in RNAcentral is "long non-coding RNA (OEUR_LNC011815)". The record is from RNAcentral. Lineage: Eukaryota; Viridiplantae; Streptophyta; Magnoliopsida; Lamiales; Oleaceae.